UACGUAGGGUGCAGGCGUUAAUCGGAAUUACUGGGCGUAAAGCGUGCGCAGGCGGUUUGCUAAGACAGGUGUGAAAUCCCCGGGCUUAACCUGGGAACUGCGCUUGUAACUGGCAAGCUAGAGUGUGGCAGAGGGGGGUGGAAUUCCAGGUGUAGCAGUGAAAUGCGUAGAGAUCUGGAGGAACACCGAUGGCGAAGGCAGCCCCCUGGGCUAACACUGACGCUCAUGCACGAAAGCGCGGGGAGCAAACAGG
Molecule: ribosomal RNA, 253 nt
Filed under: uncultured bacterium
Lineage: Bacteria
Description: partial 16S ribosomal RNA
Rfam family: Bacterial small subunit ribosomal RNA
Source: RNAcentral